UGGGUAACCUACCCAUCAGAGGGGGAUAACACUUGGAAACAGGUGCUAAUACCGCAUAACAGUUUAUGCCGCAUGGCAUAAGAGUGAAAGGCGCUUUCGGGUGUCGCUGAUGGAUGGACCCGCGGUGCAUUAGCUAGUUGGUGAGGUAACGGCUCACCAAGGCCACGAUGCAUAGCCGACCUGAGAGGGUGAUCGGCCACACUGGGACUGAGACACGGCCCAGACUCCUACGGGAGGCAGCAGUAGGGAAUCUUCGGCAAUGGACGAAAGUCUGACCGAGCAACGCCGCGUGAGUGAAGAAGGUUUUCGGAUCGUAAAACUCUGUUGUUAGAGAAGAACAAGGACGUUAGUAACUGAACGUCCCCUGACGGUAUCUAACCAGAAAGCCACGGCUAACUACGUGCCAGCAGCCGCGGUAAUACGUAGGUGGCAAGCGUUGUCCGGAUUUAUUGGGCGUAAAGCGAGCGCAGGCGGUUUCUUAAGUCUGAUGUGAAAGCCCCCGGCUCAACCGGGGAGGGUCAUUGGAAACUGGGAGACUUGAGUGCAGAAGAGGAGAGUGGAAUUCCAUGUGUAGCGGUGAAAUGCGUAGAUAUAUGGAGGAACACCAGUGGCGAAGGCGGCUCUCUGGUCUGUAACUGACGCUGAGGCUCGAAAGCGUGGGGAGCAA
RNAcentral lists this ribosomal RNA (667 nucleotides) under Enterococcus faecalis. RNAcentral's name for it is "bacterial SSU rRNA". It matches the Rfam family "Bacterial small subunit ribosomal RNA", at positions 118 to 771 of the family's 1533-position model. Lineage: Bacteria; Bacillati; Bacillota; Bacilli; Lactobacillales; Enterococcaceae. The record is from RNAcentral.